AUUGAACGCUGGCGGCAGGCCUAACACAUGCAAGUCGAGCGGAUGAAGGGAGCUUGCUCCUGGAUUCAGCGGCGGACGGGUGAGUAAUGCCUAGGAAUCUGCCUGGUAGUGGGGGAUAACGUCCGGAAACGGGCGCUAAUACCGCAUACGUCCUGAGGGAGAAAGUGGGGGAUCUUCGGACCUCACGCUAUCAGAUGAGCCUAGGUCGGAUUAGCUAGUUGGUGGGGUAAAGGCCUACCAAGGCGACGAUCCGUAACUGGUCUGAGAGGAUGAUCAGUCACACUGGAACUGAGACACGGUCCAGACUCCUACGGGGGGCAGCAGUGGGGAAUAUUGGACAAUGGGCGAAAGCCUGAUCCAGCCAUGCCGCGUGUGUGAAGAAGGUCUUCGGAUUGUAAAGCACUUUAAGUUGGGAGGAAGGGCAGUAAGUUAAUACCUUGCUGUUUUGACGUUACCAACAGAAUAAGCUCCGGCUAACUUCGUG
This 484-nucleotide ribosomal RNA is filed under the name uncultured bacterium. RNAcentral's name for it is "partial 16S ribosomal RNA". It matches the Rfam family "Bacterial small subunit ribosomal RNA", at positions 30 to 507 of the family's 1533-position model. The record is from RNAcentral.